This is an RNA transcript of Cynoglossus semilaevis (tongue sole), 3311 nucleotides long. It is a transcript of the gene named solute carrier family 26 member 6-like, with no coding region annotated. NCBI's taxonomy places the organism in Eukaryota, Metazoa, Chordata, Actinopteri, Pleuronectiformes, Cynoglossidae. The transcript has 25 exons. The record is from RefSeq and is a predicted model, not a curated record.
CUAGUAGUGAAUGGAUCGUCUGUGUGGGGGCGUGGACGCACACCUGCAGACGAUCCAUUCAUCACUGUGGAGUAUUUAAGGACACCGGAAGACGGCGCCAGAGUGUUGUUCACGCCAUGUGGGUAACUGACGGCUAGCUCUUGUUCGUUGUAUGCUUUUUGAACCCCUACCUUGGCCGGGCAUACACUGUACGAUUUUAGCCCGUGGGUUUUUUUGACCCGAUUUUUGAGACGCACGACCAGGCGACGCACGGCCCGAUUUCACCUUUUGUCGGGCGUCUUUUUCCGUACAGUGUACAGGCAGUUUUCAUCAUUUCUGGGGAUAAACGUCUAUAUGUUAAAGUGAAAGUCACUGGAUGGCAGUAUUACAGCUCAUUUAAUUUCAUAAAGUUUUAAGCAUGGGAUUGUAACGCUGACAUGUACCAGGAUGCCUUGAGGAAGAAGAGUUUUACUGCAAGUAAGAAACAUGAGGCAAACAGGAAGAAACUUCAGAAGAAAUAUCAAAACAUGUCGGGACAUGAUUCACAGAGACUACGGGAAAAUUGGUAUAGAGGUGAUUCUUGCCUGCUGCCAACACUGUGGUGGACUUGUGUUAUCUCCUGCCCCAGACAAACAUAGGUACUCUAGUGGUCAGUAUUGUCGUCAUCAUCUGCAUGGUUCUUGCUAAAGAGCUGAAUACUUUCCUCAGCAAAAAGAUUCCUGUUCCUUUACCUAUGGAGCUGCUGGCUGUCUUUGUGGAAAGUACUGAGAAAGAAACAUACUCCUGUAUCAGUCUGUCCUGAUACCAAGGGACUGGACAGCAUUCUGCGGGGACACUCCUGGGUAUGAUGAACAAUUCGACCAAGUCCCAAAGACGACUCCACUGAGGAAGAAGUCUUAUUUGGAAGAUAAGUUACGAUAUUGGGCGUAAUUCUGAGUUUGGAGUUCCUGACCGAGAGUCUGGAUACGACUGGAUUUAUUUCCUCUGGAAACACCACAGUAAUACCACUAGAGGGGAAAAAGAAGAACCCAUUUCGAAGAAGAACACAAGAAGUAUUUAACUAUGGCGGACAAAAGGUUGGGGUAUAAGGUCCACAGGAGAAUCCUGGAUGAAACAGCUGUGGAGGAGAUUGCAGAAAAGUCUGAGAUGACCUUGUCUCUGUCUGAGAAGGUCAAAAAGUCAGUGAGGUGCAGUGGUCCUCAGUUGAAGAGACACCUGCUGGACCGUCUCCCUGUCUUAUCAUGGCUACCUCAUUACUCCAUCAAGGAGAACCUCAUAGGAGACCUGAUCUCUGGAGUCAGUGUGGGCAUCAUGCAUCUGCCACAGGGUAUGGCCUACGCCUUGCUGGCAUCUGUUCCUCCUGUUUUUGGCCUUUACUCCUCUUUAUACCCUCCUCUCAUCUACUUUAUCUUUGGAACAUCCAAGCACAUCUCCAUAGGCACGUUUGCUGUGAUGAGUGUCAUGAUAGGAGGAGUGACAGAACGACUAGCCCCUGACUCCAACUUUAUGAUAUGGGACAAUGUGACCAACGGCAGUAUAGUUGAUGCCGUGUCAAGGGACACGGAGAGGGUCAGAGUAGCAACAGCGGUCACCUUUAUGACUGGAUUAUUCCAGAUAAUGCUCGGUGUUCUCCAGUUUGGUUUCGUGGUGACCUACCUGUCUGAACCCCUGGUCAGAGGCUAUACCACAGGGGCUUCUAUCCAUGUCAUUGUGAGCCAGCUCAAAUACACCUUUGGCAUUAACCCUGUGAGAUACAGUGGACCAUUAUCCUUGAUAUAUACUGUGGUGGACUUGUGUUAUCUCCUGCCCCAGACAAACAUAGGUACUCUAGUGGUCAGUAUUGUCGUCAUCAUCUGCAUGGUUCUUGCUAAAGAGCUGAAUACUUUCCUCAGCAAAAAGAUUCCUGUUCCUUUACCUAUGGAGCUGCUGGCUGUUGCAAUUGGAACAGUCAUCUCCUGGCAGGUUAAUCUAGAAGAUAAAUAUGGAGUAGCUGUGGUGGGGAAUAUUCCCUCAGGUCUCCUGCCACCCACGUUCCCACCAGCCUCUCUGUUCGGUCAGGUGAUUGGAGACGCUUUCGCUCUGGCUGUGGUUGGUUAUGGUAUUGCCAUCUCACUGGGAAGAAUCUUAGCCAUAAAAUAUGGAUACCAGGUGGACAGCAACCAGGAAUUAAUUGCUCUUGGUCUGAGCAACUCUGUGGGAUCAAUGUUCCAGUGUUUUUCUGUCAGCAGCUCCAUGUCUCGCACCAUGGUGCAGGUCAACACAGGAGGGAACACUCAGAUUGCUGCAGCUGUGUCAUCUGUAAUUAUUCUUUGUAUUGUGCUGUGGAUUGGCUAUCUCUUUGAGAGUCUGCCCAAGGCAGUGCUGUCUGCCAUAAUCUAUGUCAACCUUCAAGGUAUGUUGAAGCAGCUUGUAGACAUUCCUGUCCUGUGGAAGAAGAACAAAGUGGACGCAGUAAUCUGGGUGUCCACCUUCAUCCUCACUCUGCUACUGAACCCUGAUAUAGGACUGGCUGCUUCCAUCGCCUUCUCCAUGCUCACAGUCAUCAUCAGGACACAAUUACCUAAAUAUUCUCUGUUAGGACAAGUUCAUGGCAGUGACAUCUACAAACCACUGGAAGACUUUCAUCAGGUGAAGCCAGUUCCAGGCAUUGUGAUCUUCCGUUCAUCUGCCACACUUUACUUCGCAAACGCAGAGAUGUAUCAAGAUGCUCUCAAGAUUAAGUCUGGUAUUGAUGUUGCCAUGAUCCUGUCAACAAAGAAGAAACUGGAGGAAAAAAUUAAAAAAUUAGAGGAGCAAAAUGUCAGGAAUCAACAGCAGGAGCCAGAUGAAGACAUUGCUGCCAUUCAAGUGGAGUCUGAGCCUGCCCCAACACUCCCCAGAGCCGUCAUCCUGGACCUGAGUCCAGUCAACUUUCUGGACACAAUGGGAGUCAAAACACUGAGCAACAUCCAUAAGGGCUACGCAUCAGUGGGUAUCGACGUGUUUCUCACGGGCUGUCAGAAUGUAUUGCUCCAUCAUCCAAACGUACGGCAUAAAAAACCUGGCGAUCGGUUCACAUGAGAACUAACGAAUAUGCGAACGAAUAUGUCCUACCGUAUACCUGGAAUACGGCUUUGUUUACAUUGGGGCGUACAUGCUGUACUGGCAAAUCAUGAGACAGACUUUUCUGACUUUACCACCGUGUUAGUUCAGCUGUCGUGGUGGAAAACCUGCAAACCGGAGGUUUCUUUGAUGAAAAAGUCACAAAAUCCUGUCUGUUCUCCACCAUCCAUGAUGCUGUUUUGCACAGUCAGUCGUCCAGUGAACCAAAUGAGGACAUCACAUGGACACAG